This 1704-nucleotide long non-coding RNA is filed under the name Pogonomyrmex barbatus (red harvester ant). RNAcentral describes it as "uncharacterized LOC112552724". Lineage: Eukaryota; Metazoa; Arthropoda; Insecta; Hymenoptera; Formicidae. The record is from RNAcentral.
GAAAAUCGCACUAUCUGGGAUUAAAAUUACUGCAAAAUUAGCAAAAUCAUAUCAGGAUCGUAUGAGGAAAUCAAUAAUUCUUUAUUAGAAAAAAAUUUCCUAUCGACAAGCUUAUCAUUAAUCAAUGUCGUUAAAAAAAAAAAGUAUGAGAAUAUCAACGGUUUUUCAAAUAGAAAUUUUCUCUCCCCAAAAAGAGAAUUGAUUCCACGCAUUUUGUGUAAAUAUUAUGUAAAUAUUGUACAACUUGUAAAUAUCAGUAUGUAAUUAUUAUUAAUUGUUAAAUCGAUUUGUAUUUAAGAUCAAAUACUCUCCUUCCCUCUUUUUUCUUUCCAAGAUUAAUUUAUUGAAUUCUGAAGAAUAUAAAUAACGUGGGUAUAAAUCAAUCUCUUGCAUAUGGAUGUAUUUUACAUUCUCGUCUUGCAAGCAACGCUCGAAAAAAAACUGAGGAAAAAAAAAUAAAAAUAUGACGUUGUAAAUCGGCAAAAAUAAUACGUCAUUCCGAUUAAUAUUCUCCAGGUGGAUAAGACGGCGUAUGAGGUAAAUUCUUAUUCCUUAAAAACUAUUAUGCAAUAUCAGAACUUUCAGUAAGAAUAUAAACUUCUGACUGAGAUUCAAAAGAACGCCUUACUAUAAAGAACACAAUAUCUAAUAAGAUCUUCCAUGGCGUUUGAUAAUAAUUUAUAUCUCUUUUUUUUUUUUGCCUUCAUUUUGCAGUCUGCCUUUCAAUUUCGUACAAAUACAUCAAAAUCAAUGUACAAUUAAUGACGUGUACACGUCCGUGUGAUGUUGUUUAUAACAAAUACAAUUUGCAACUUGUAUAUAUCAUAUCUUCGCAAGUACUUAAAACGCUAAAUUGAUUCUUUCAUUGUAUCAUCGUCUUACGGUAAGCGAUCUAAUGUACAGCGGCACAACCUCUCGUGCGUAUUGCUAGAAAAUAGCGGGGGCAAGGCAUACGAGUCGUAGUUUAGUUUAAACAAUCCGAGUAUGACAAACGCAAUAAUGUUAUACGUCUUUCGUCGCAAGCGAUGACCUCCCGAAAUGCGCAACGAUUUUUUAUCUAUUUCUGACGUUCGACAGAUUACGGAGCAUCCUGAGACCAGGCUAGAGAAAGAAAUGUAAGAAAGUAAAGAUUAAUCGCUCUGACAGCGUAACACGCUACAGUUCUUCGUAUCGAACCGCAAGGUAUACACAAAUGAAAGACAAGCAGUCGGUAAAUUCAUCUUAUAAUCACUAUUUACACACUUUUCCCUCCACUUUUCAUCUUAAUCUUUAAUCUUAUUUCUCUAUAUCUGGUUACAGAUGUACGUAAGAAUCAGUUACAUUGCAUGCGUAGAGACAAGUACGACGCCGGAGUUUCGAGUGUUCCGGAGCGGCUUGUUAAAUUGCUUUUAGUAGCUUCUAAAAGAGACUAGCGACGAGAGAGAAAAACAAACGUUACGUUACGUAUUAUUUAUUUCACACAUCACUGGAACUUAAAAAAUUACUCUUCAUUCGAUAAGUGCAAAUCCUUUUUCUUCCUCGUUAUUCUAUUUUGUCAACGUGUGAUUGCUGGCAUUUUUAUAGACGUUUCCAGAGUCCAGAAUUACAAGAGAGCACCUAAAUACCAGCGAGAAUAAUUUGAUUCCUCGAAUUAACGUCAAUUAGGGCAGAAGAGGAAAAAAGAACGAGACUCAUCGACCUAGAAUAAUUCGCAAUUGUUAACUA